CGGCCAUAUGACCUUGAAGCACCGGUUCUCGUAAGAUUACCAUAGUUAAGCAACGUCGAGACAGUUCAGUGCCUAGAUUGGUGACCCCCUGGGUAUACCAAGUGCU
Molecule: non-coding RNA, 106 nt
Organism: Acanthosepion pharaonis
Lineage: Eukaryota; Metazoa; Mollusca; Cephalopoda; Sepiida; Sepiidae
Source: the annotation of a GenBank genome assembly